CCUACGGGAGGCAGCAGUAGGGAAUAUUGCUCAAUGGGGGAAACCCUGACGCAGCAACGCCGCGUGGGGGAUGAAGGUUUUAGGAUUGUAAACUCCUUUUGUUAGAGAAGAUUAUGACGGUAUCUAACGAAUAAGCACCGGCUAACUCCGUGCCAGCAGCCGCGGUAAUACGGAGGGUGCAAGCGUUACUCGGAAUCACUGGGCGUAAAGAGUGCGUAGGCGGGGUAAUAAGUCAGAUGUGAAAUCCUGUAGCUUAACUACAGAACUGCAUUUGAAACUGUUACUCUGGAGUGUGGGAGAGGUAGGUGGAAUUCUUGGUGUAGGGGUAAAAUGCGUAGAGAUCAAGAGGAAUACGCAUUGCGAAGGCGACCUGCUGGAACAUUACUGACGCUGAUGCACGAAAGCGUGGGGAGCAAACAGGAUUAGAUACCCGAGUAGUC
This 440-nucleotide ribosomal RNA is filed under the name uncultured bacterium. RNAcentral's name for it is "partial 16S ribosomal RNA". It matches the Rfam family "Bacterial small subunit ribosomal RNA", at positions 338 to 795 of the family's 1533-position model. The record is from RNAcentral.